ACGGUUAUAAAUCAACAUAUUGAUUUAUAAGCAUGGGAAUCCCCUGAGUGAAACAACGAAUUGCUGUGUGUAGUCUUUGCCCAUCUCCCACGAUGGGCUUUUUUUUAA
Molecule: non-coding RNA, 108 nt
Filed under: Escherichia coli
Lineage: Bacteria; Pseudomonadati; Pseudomonadota; Gammaproteobacteria; Enterobacterales; Enterobacteriaceae
Description: antisense sRNA RprA
Rfam family: RprA RNA
About the family: Translational regulation of the stationary phase sigma factor RpoS is mediated by the formation of a double-stranded RNA stem-loop structure in the upstream region of the rpoS messenger RNA, occluding the translation initiation site. Clones carrying rprA (RpoS regulator RNA A) increased the translation of RpoS. The rprA gene encodes a 106 nucleotide regulatory RNA.
Source: RNAcentral